Molecule: ribosomal RNA, 785 nt
Filed under: uncultured Neocallimastigales
Lineage: Eukaryota; Fungi; Neocallimastigomycota; Neocallimastigomycetes; Neocallimastigales
Description: partial large subunit ribosomal RNA
Rfam family: Eukaryotic large subunit ribosomal RNA
Source: RNAcentral
UAUCUCUGUAGAGUCUGCAUAUCAAUAAGCGGAGGAAAAGAAAACUAACUAAGGAUUCCCUCAGUAACGGCGAGUGAAGCGGGAAGAGCUCAAAUUUGAAAUCUUCAAGGUUUUACCUUGACGAAUUGUAGUUUAAAGAAGCGUUUUCUGUUAGAUGAGUAGGUAAAAGUUCCUUGGAAUAGGGACAUCAUAGAGGGUGAGAAUCCCGUAUUUGACCAGUUACUUUCCAGCUGUUGUGAUACACUUCAAAGAGUCGGAUUGUUUGGGAAUGCAGUCCAAAAUGGGUGGUAAAUUUCAUCUAAAGCUAAAUAUUGGCGAGAGACCGAUAGCGAACAAGUACCGUGAGGGAAAGAUGAAAAGAACUUUGAAAAGAGAGUUAAACAGUACGUGAAAUUGUCAAAAGGGAAGCGUUUGACACCAGUGUUGUUUUCUCGAAAAUCAAUUAAAAAAUGGCAUGAUUUUGUGUUGUAUUGACCUUAAUCAAGCUUCCUUCACUCUUUUCAUUGUCUUUUUUAAUGCACUUUUCGUUUAACAAGUCAACAUCAGUUUCUUUUGUUGUAAAAGGGUCAUUGGAAGGUGGCUUUCUUUUCGGAGAAAGUGUUUAUAGCCUUUGCCUCUGCAAUCGGAGAGAUUGAGGUCUGCAGCGUAGAUCCUUCUGGAUUAGAUACAUUUGUGCUAAGUUAUAACCGUUUCAUAGACAACUUGUUGACUAUGAUCGAUCAUGUAGCUUACUCGCUUAUGCUAAUUUUACCUACGCUUAGGAUGUUGAAGAUGUAGCACAUCAU